This 296-nucleotide small RNA is filed under the name Bacillus sp. FJAT-26390. RNAcentral's name for it is "5' ureB small RNA". It matches the Rfam family "5' ureB small RNA". The record is from Rfam by way of RNAcentral. Lineage: Bacteria; Bacillati; Bacillota; Bacilli; Caryophanales; Bacillaceae.
CCGUCUCGAUUUGCUGCGGGCAAAUAAAAUGAAUAUGCGAAUCGAUUGCUCCUGCCGUUACGAUCUUGCCUUCUCCGGCGAUUACCUCGGUGCUUGCGCCAACGAUCAUAUUCGGAUGCACGCCAUCCAUAAUGUCUGGAUUGCCCGCCUUCCCGAUGCCGACGAUAUAUCCGUCUUUAAUGCCGAUAUCCGCUUUUAUAAUGCCGGAAUGAUCAAUGAUAACUGCGUUGGUGAUGAGCGUAUCAAGCACGCCUUCAUCACGCAUGGCACCGCUUGAUUGCCCCAUGCCAUCUCGG